GGCUGGUUAGCUCAGCUGGUUAGAGGGUGGUGCGGUGCUAAUAACGCCAAGGUUGAGGGUUCGACCCCAAUAUGGGCCA
Molecule: non-coding RNA, 79 nt
Organism: Albula glossodonta (roundjaw bonefish)
Lineage: Eukaryota; Metazoa; Chordata; Actinopteri; Albuliformes; Albulidae
Source: the annotation of a GenBank genome assembly